RNAcentral lists this long non-coding RNA (3551 nucleotides) under Sorghum bicolor (sorghum). Its description in RNAcentral is "long non-coding RNA (SBIC_LNC004191)". The record is from RNAcentral. Lineage: Eukaryota; Viridiplantae; Streptophyta; Magnoliopsida; Poales; Poaceae.
ACCAAUUUUCAUGUUGGUAAAUUUUGGAUAUCAAAUUGCAUUACUAAACAGGCACCUACAUCAGUAGCAUUAAAGCAAAAUAAGGAUUAGGAGAAUUACAAUGAGGUCACCGGCCGUCGUUGCCUUGUGAACGCUGACAAUGGAGGCUCCGUUCAGGGUCUUGGGGAUGGACGGCAGCUCGGAAGGAUGGCAAUCAACAAGGUCAAUCAUGGGGAAAUCCAGCUCAAUGAACAGUUUCCCCUCGCCUGACACGCCCGUGCUCUCCGGCGCAGGAACCCUUUUGGCGGUAAGAAUCCCCGACUUGGUCGAGAACUCGAUGAGCGUCUCGUGCUCCGCGAGGACGGAUGUGAAGAGGAAGUGGGCGGAGGCCAGCGUCGCGUGGCCGCAGAGCUCCACCUGGAACCGCGUCAAGAGAAGACUCGAGACUGGAUUACGCGCAACUGUGUGACGAUGAGUCGGGUGGGUACCUACCUCAGCGGCGGGGGUGAACCAUCGGAGCUGGAACCGCGGGGCGGCGCCAGACGCGGAGGAGUCCCGGAGGAGGAAGGCGGUCUCGGAGAGGUUGAACUCGGCGGCGACGGACUGCAUCCACCGCUCGUCAGCGGCCUUGGCGGCGUCCUGGAGGAGGCACACCGCGGCGGGGUUGCCCCUGAACGGCUCCGCCGUGAAGGCGUCCAGCUGCGGACGACCACGGCGACGAUGUCAGGUAUCCUCCUGCGAGCUGAUAAGAAAAGGGAGCAUCGCUCCCGUCCAAGAGAGUACAGAGCAGUACUACUGACCACUGCGUACUGGGUGCCAUUCUUGCCCAUUCCUGCGACGAAGAAACAGCUCCGGGCUCCUGUGCUAUGGCCGCCGGCGGCGGCUGCUGCUCCUUUUUACUACGAACAGGGCUGCUUUUGCUUUUUUUUUUAUGCACGAUUAACAUGAGUGCGUUGUCCUGACUGCUGAAUGUUGCAAUCAGCAAUGACCACAUCGAGCUUGUCGCCUCUCUCGAAAUCGAAAAAUCGAAAAUACAUGUUUGCUUGGGACUACCAGAAUUCUCACAGCAAUUGAACCGCAUCAUGCGAAACCACUAAUUCGAGACCAUAGAAAUGUUGUCCCCCACCCCGAUGUGGCGAAGUUCCACUCAGUGUUCUUUUUUCAAGCACUGUUCACCACGGAAUAGUACUCCCUCCAUUCCAAAUUAUAAUACACUUAUACAUCGCUUUAAUUAUAUAUUAGACAUAGUCGCUUUAAUUAUAUAUUAGACAUAGUGUAGUAUAGCCGCCCAUUAUAGACAUGGCUUGUCGGUCUUUGAUAUUGGUACACUGCUGCUGCUCCGUUCUAAAUUAUAAGGAAUUUUAGUUUUUCUCUAUAUAGUUUUUAUUGUGCACCUAGAUAGUGUAAGUCUAGAUUUAUAGUAAAAUAUAUGUACCUAUAAAGGUAACAUAACUUAUAAUUUGGAACAGGGGAAUACAUGUUAGUGUUGUCGUGCUGGCUGCUAAGUUUGCAAUCAGCAGUGACGGCAUAGUCAUGAAAAUGAAAUGAAAUGAAAUGAAAUAGGGGUCUGACCAGCAGCCUGCAUGUUUGUUUGGGACUUGGGACUUGGGACUACAAGAUUUCUCAUUAAAAAAACGAAUAGAAUUGUGAGAGAUCCAAAUCUGACAAGUCUUGGCACCCUUGGGCAUUAGAAGCAAAUGUUGACAAUUAACUAGUAUACUCUACAGACAGUUUGUUCAGAUCUAUGUUCUUCAUCCAGCCCAUAAAUCUAGUUCAUUGCUUCAAUUCAAGCCAAUGCAAACAGAAUAUACUGCACACAUUGAACAUCCACUGAUUUAUUCAAAAGAAACACCCACAUACACUCUGCUUAGUCUGGAAUUAUACCACAGAGGUUUGAUUUAAUCCUAGCUGCAGAAGAAUUAUGCCUCGCAACUAAAGUUAAGACAGCAAACGUCCAUUGAGCAGGGCUAUGCUAGGAGGGUACCAGUCAUCACACUGACAGCUUCUCCCUGAAUUCGCACUCUCCUGCGUGCAGCUUCUAACUCCAGGUAUAGUGUUCCACUCCGAGAGGAUGCCUAGUGAUAUAUGGAUGAAUUCAAAACCCAAUCGAUGAUUGAUCAAGGAAACACUAAAGUGGUGCAAGAACGUACUUGAAAUGCUGUCAGUUUGUGUUUCCCCAGCUUCCCACCCCAAUAAGGUGCUAAAACACAAUGCGCGCUGCCACAAACAGGAUCCUGUCAAAACAUAGUGAUUAGAGGGUUAGGCUGUAGGAAAUUUGUAAAGGUAACACAAGCAUGAAAACCAAAACAGAAUUCCUGAAUGUUCAGGCCCAGGAGACCAGUACAUUGUACCCAACACAAACAUUUGUAGCUUGUUACUAAAAAAAUAGUGGAUUUUUCUGACAAGUACAGCAAUGAGAUAUUCCAAUUCCAUGAUAAUAUGUUCUCACUGAGAUAAGGAUUAGUAUGUAAAAAAAAGAACAGUGAAACCACACCUGUAAGGUGCUAAAUGCCUUAUGGAAAGGAAUUAAUGUGAUUGUAUCAUGUAAAGAUUAGCUAUUCGCCUAUUCUAAUAAAUUAUUCUCCAUGCACGGAAUAUGUAUGGCUUCUCAUAUCAGGUUAAGUGUCAAAUUUCUAACUGAGAAAAGAAAGUCACAAUGCAAGAAUAUAGACAUGUCGGGUUUAUUACGUUCUUAGUCAAAACUCAAAAGAUAACUUUCCACUUUGCAGCAUCCAUGGUAGAGCAUUCAUGACAGCAAUCACAAAGUAUCCUAUAAAUACUUGAUACUAAAAUGGAUAAUACUGCAUUUUUGUGUUUUAUGUUAAGCAAUCUUAGCUCCCCCAAUGUAUAUAUUUUUGGACAUAAAGUAUGUCAUCACCUCAUCUAUCCCAAAUUUUGGGCAGAAAAAACGUGUGAAGAAGUCAUAACCAGAUCCAGCUGCCGCUGGCCCUGUAACAAUAAUUCCGCUGCCAGAACACAUUUUAAUUUCAUGAAUAUUAGGAGUGAUAUCAGCAACCUCUUUUCCUGAUGAAAGCUCCACCUGAAAGCCAAAUCAGAUUUUCUUUUCAUGAGUUACCUGAACAAACUGAACUCCGUCAUUACCACUCUUGUUUACUAUCUUUGUUUCAUUGCCUCUACUUAAACUUUAUGCAGCCUACAAAAUGUUUUAGUGCUGUGUACAUAGGAUUAUGAUGUUUUUAAAAUUUUGUUUGGAAUAUCUUAUAUCUCCAUCGUGGUCUAGGAAAAUGAUCAUGGUGGUAGUAGUCACAGACAUACAGUAAAUUGGUUCUUCUAUCCAUUUUCAUGUUGGUAAAUUUCGGAUUUAAUGCUUGGGCAUCAAGUGCAUUGCUGUUUACUAGGCAGGCACCUACAUCAGUAGCAUCACAAAAUCUAGACAUUUCGAGCAGGAAAGCGAAAUAAGGAUUAGGAGAAUUACAACGAUGAGGUCACCAGUUGACUUGUGAACACUGAUAAUGGAGGCUCCGUUCAGGGUCUCGGGGAUGGACGGCAGCUCGGAAGGAUGGCAAUCAACAAGGUCAAUCACGGGGAAAUCCAGCUCAAUGAACAGUUUC